GGAGUUUAUAGAAAAUUUUAUUACAGAAAGCCCAGUCCCAUUAUACGUUUAUGUCUCCAUUUCUCUUAGAUGCACUUAACAGAAUGGAUUGUAUAGAGAAAAAGAAGGCAUAAGAAGCAGAGGACAGAAUCAGUGAGCUAGAAGACAAGGUGGGAAAAAAUACCCAAGUAGAGCAGCUUCUAGAAAAAUAAAUAAAAAGCAGAAGGGAGAGCCUAAGAGAAUUUUGGGACAACACGAAACAAAACAACAUUUGCAGAAUAGGGGUACCAGAAGGAGAGGAAACUGAGCAAAGAAUAGAAAACUUGUUUGAAGAAAUAAUGACUGA
Molecule: long non-coding RNA, 325 nt
Organism: Pipistrellus kuhlii (Kuhl's pipistrelle)
Lineage: Eukaryota; Metazoa; Chordata; Mammalia; Chiroptera; Vespertilionidae
Exons: 3
Source: RefSeq, a predicted model, not a curated record